Heterocephalus glaber (naked mole-rat) is the source of this 1677-nucleotide long non-coding RNA. NCBI's taxonomy places the organism in Eukaryota, Metazoa, Chordata, Mammalia, Rodentia, Bathyergidae. The record is from Ensembl.
CCUGUGCCAACUUCCCCAACAUACCCAAGAAUUUCUUUAUUUAGAAACUCUCAUGUGCUAUUUUUUUUAAAUCUCUGGAAUCUCAGGGAUUUUCCCAUCCCUCUACAUGCUCGAGACGUUUCAGGGCAUGGUAACCCCCUGUUGGAAUCCUCUAACUCUUCUGUUUUAUUUUUAUAAUGUGGGCUGUAUUAGUGUACAGGAAGUGACUGUUCCUAUGACAAAGGAGGGUGAGAUUCCCAGAGUGUAUGGCAAUACCACUGAAGACUGUUGUGGAGAAGGCAACUCUGUGAGCCACCAAAGCCUCCUUUUAAGGCAUCCUUGAAAAUCAAGAGAUUUUGAAAUCAAGAGCUUUAUGAGAAGGGCUGAUUUCUAACUCCUACCGCUGUUAACCUUCCUCCAGGAAUGAGUUUAUGUCUGUACCAUUCUGAGUGGGCUUUAGCAUCCUUGCAUAUGUUCAACACUUAAAAACCUGAUGGUAUAAAACACCAGAAAAUGUAGGAAAGCUUCCAGGCAAGAGCAUGUGGUAAGUGGGGGAAGUUCUUUCCUCAAGGGAUUAGAGGUCUCUUAGAGUCAGAUUGCAUGUGUGUUUGUGUAUAUGUCCAUGUUUUGUGCAGAUGAUACAUGUAUGAACCAGACAUGCUAGGCUGUGGUCCAAGGGUGUGAGAAAUGAUAGUGUGAUAAUUUGUCUUCUCUGUCAUGGCACCCCGUGUAGCUCACAGUCAGGGAUAUCAAGUUUAUUAUUUUGUAUCUUCAUCCUCCAAUAAAGGCUGGCAUAUUGGUGCUCAGUACUAGGUUAAAUGCACACAUGUUUGUCUUAAGUAACUUUUUGUGUUAUUGAGACACAAUACCUGACACCUUCAACUUAGAAGAGGAAAGGUUUAUUUUGUCUCACAGUUUGUGGAGGUUUCAGUCCAUAGUCAGCUGGCUCCAAGGCAGUACAGCAUAGCAGAGAGGCAUGUCAGAAGAAUUGCUUAUGGCAUUGCAGUAGGAAGGAGAGAGCCAUCAGGGCAGGAGCUGGGCAGAGACAGACCCAGGCCAAGCCCCCAGUGACCCACCUCUUCCAACCAGACCCCACCUCCUAACAGCAAACCAGCUCUGAACUCUCAUAAUCCAAUCCCCUUCCGAAAGCCUACCUAUGAGCACAUGAGGGUUUAGGGGGACAUCUACACCAUAAAAACAUUAAAAAGAGAGAAGAAGGAAAGGAUGAGAGAAAAGAAGUGGUACCUUUGAGGUGGUAUCCAACAAGACAGGACAGGGCACUAAUGUUUUUGAUGUUUCUAGUUGUGUUAGAACGGUCUGCACAGGUGGGGAGUGUGCUUGGCACACUUGGGGAACGAGAAAGGAGGCUUUUCAGCAGAGCCAAGCUGACUUGAGAUUGCACACAUAAAACUUAUCUCUAAGUGACUCAUGACCUGGGGUCACACAAUGGAGGCUCAGCCAUAGGUAGGGAAGAAAACGAAGGUUGGGUAAUGAGUGCAGAGUAGAAAUUUGCAUUGGAAACAGCUUCAUUGGUUGUGGAAAUGUGUUUUCAGUGUCUGCUGUUUGUAGAUGUUUUCUUUCUAAGAUUGUUUAGAAAAGUAGGGUGAGAUAUUAAGUUUCUGGAAAAGACUGGCUUUAUCUCGAAAGUGGCUUAGAUAACAGUUGGAGUCAGAAGAUUCUUAGGUUCCUGCUUCAAGG